Molecule: long non-coding RNA, 791 nt
Organism: Perca flavescens (yellow perch)
Lineage: Eukaryota; Metazoa; Chordata; Actinopteri; Perciformes; Percidae
Exons: 2
Source: RefSeq, a predicted model, not a curated record
CGGACGGUUCAGUAUUUCUUUGUGAUCUCGCAGAGGCGGAGCCCAGAUUGAGCUCCCCGCUGCUCCCCGCUGCUCCGUGGACCGACAGGCUGUGGAAAAAAAAGGCUCCGUCUCGCUGUCGCGUCGCGGGAGGCUGCGACGAUGUGAAGCUCCAUCGUUUUCCCUGGAGCCUGGCAUUAUUAUGCAGGGAGCAAUAAGGGACACUGGACGGAUUAAAGGGGAACAAAGCAGCGGUUUAGAAAACCUUUUACAAACUGGCAGGUCCUGGUGAUGAACGAGAGCUGGAGAUGUAACCUAUAAUGGUCCUCCUUUCUUCCCACACUGAUCGUCACCCAAGUCUGCUCAGAUGGAAAUCCAUCCAUAUCUUUUCCUUUUAAACUAGUGAUAGUGCCAUCUUCUGAGCUGCUGAGAAGGAACCCAGAUAUGAACCUGCAGCCUUUUACCUGCAUAAAUGAAAUGACAUGUACAAGGUUCAAACAGCUUUAUUCACAUCAAGGCAUGUUGUUCAGUCCAUAAUAUGUUCCCUCUUGACUUUACCUCAACAUGUGGGCUUCUUUUUUGUAUCAUUUCCGGUAAGUUAUCAUUUGUGCAUUAUCAUAAAAUGCUUGUUUCAAUUAUUUACAUAGAGUUGCUUUGUCAAGGACAGAUUUCGGAUGUAGCAAUAAUGAAAUGGUCAAGAUCACUAUCAAACACAUCUGUGAGUUCUUUGUUUUUCUAAAACGUGUUAAAGGUUAAGGACACAAUCUGUUCAUACCAUCAAAACCAGAAUAAUAAAAACAAACAUUUCACAA